UACGAAGGGGGCUAGCGUUGUUCGGAAUUACUGGGCGUAAAGCGCGCGCAGGCGGCUAUCCAAGUCAGUGGUGAAAGCCCGGAGCUCAACUCCGGAACUGCCAUUGAAACUGUUUAGCUUGAGGACGAGAGAGGUGAGUGGAAUUCCCAGUGUAGAGGUGAAAUUCGUAGAUAUUGGGAAGAACACCGGUGGCGAAGGCGGCGAGCUGGUCCAUUACUGACGCUGAGGCGCGACAGCGUGGGGAGCAAACAGG
Molecule: ribosomal RNA, 253 nt
Filed under: uncultured bacterium
Lineage: Bacteria
Description: partial 16S ribosomal RNA
Rfam family: Bacterial small subunit ribosomal RNA
Source: RNAcentral